RNAcentral lists this transfer RNA (68 nucleotides) under Marmota marmota marmota (Alpine marmot). It matches the Rfam family "tRNA". Rfam says of the family: Transfer RNA (tRNA) molecules are approximately 80 nucleotides in length. Their secondary structure includes four short double-helical elements and three loops (D, anti-codon, and T loops). Further hydrogen bonds mediate the characteristic L-shaped molecular structure. tRNAs have two regions of fundamental functional importance: the anti-codon, which is responsible for specific mRNA codon recognition, and the 3' end, to which the tRNAs corresponding amino acid is attached (by aminoacyl-tRNA synthetases). tRNAs cope with the degeneracy of the genetic code in two manners: having more than one tRNA (with a specific anti-codon) for a particular amino acid; and 'wobble' base-pairing, i.e. permitting non-standard base-pairing at the 3rd anti-codon position. Lineage: Eukaryota; Metazoa; Chordata; Mammalia; Rodentia; Sciuridae. The record is from Rfam by way of RNAcentral. RNAcentral also lists the same sequence under 1 other name.
GGAUAUAGCUCAGUUGGUACAGUGCUUGUCUUGCAUACAUAAGGCCCUGGGUUCGAUCCCCAGCUCCA